RNAcentral lists this ribosomal RNA (502 nucleotides) under uncultured bacterium. Its description in RNAcentral is "partial 16S ribosomal RNA". It matches the Rfam family "Bacterial small subunit ribosomal RNA", at positions 899 to 1397 of the family's 1533-position model. The record is from RNAcentral.
ACUCAAAUGAAUUGACGGGGGCCCGCACAAGCGGUGGAGCAUGCGGUUUAAUUCGAUGCUACGCGAAAAACCUUACCAACUCUUGACAUGGUGGUCGCGAGAACCAGAGAUGGUUUUUUUCAGUUCGGCUGGACCACACACAGGUGUUGCAUGGCUGUCGUCAGCUCGUGUCGUGAGAUGUUGGGUUAAGUCCCGCAACGAGCGCAACCCUUAUCCUUAUUUACCAGCGAGUAAUGUCGGGGACUAUAAGGAAACUGCCAGUGACAAACUGGAGGAAGGUGAGGACGAUGUCAAGUCAUCAUGGCCCUUACGAGUUGGGCUACACGCGUGCUACAAUGGCGGUGACAAAGGGUCGCGAAAGAGUGAUCUGGAGCAAAUCCUUAAACGCCGUCUCAGUUCGGAUUGCACUCUGCAACUCGAGUGCAUGAAGUUGGAAUCGCUAGUAAUCGCAGAUCAGAAUGCUGCGGUGAAUACGUUCACGGGCCUUGUACACACCGCCCGU